This is a long non-coding RNA of Piliocolobus tephrosceles (Ugandan red Colobus), 1698 nucleotides long. The record is from Ensembl. NCBI's taxonomy places the organism in Eukaryota, Metazoa, Chordata, Mammalia, Primates, Cercopithecidae.
AAGGUAGUUUACUAUUAAACUUUUUUUAUGCAUAUUUUUAUAACUCCAAAAAUCAACUGUUAGCUGUUUUGUCAUAUGAUCGAACAAAAAUAGAAGAUGGUGAUAAUUCCAAAACUGUGAAGUUCACGUUUAAAAAGAUGGAGGCACUAGGGGUUCUUUCAAACAAGCUACGUACCCAAUUCGAAUCGAGACUGCGUAAAAACGUCGAAAUAUCAAUGAUGUUUAGCUCCGAAUUAAUUAAGAACAAUAUUUGCGAAGUGAUAAAAAAUAUUAUGAGUAUUGAAAAUGGUAUAUCAUGUAAUGAUAAAGAAUAUAAAAAAAACAUAGAAAGUAAUAUAACUUAUUCAAAUAAAUUAAAAAAUUAUAAUUUUAUGGAUGAAUCAUUGAAUAAUAUAAUAGGAGAAGAUGAAAAUAAAAGUAAACAAAAACUUGAAAUAAGAAAAGUUAGUUUUGCAACCACUAAAGAAAUAUGUUUAUUAAAUAAAGAUAAUUUGUCAGUGCGUACUAAGACACUAUUAUUGGAAGAAUCUCUUAACAAAAUGAAUCGUACAGAAUGUGUUGUUUUAGGUAAUGAAAAUAAUGACCAUGAAAUUGUACAUGAUAUUAAUGAUAAUAAUGAUAGUAACGUAAUGAAGAUAGAUAAAUAUGAUUAUGGUAAUGAAAAUAAAAUAACUGGUGAAGUAUUAACAUUAACACAAAAAGAGUUAGCUGCAAAUUCAAAUUAUGAAUUGAUAAUAAAAAAGAAGGAAACAACAGGAGAAAUGGAUACAUACGGUGGUAAAAAUGAAGAUGUAGGUACAGAUGAAAAUGUAAAUAUACAAGAAAAAACAAAUAAUAAGAAUAAUAAUACAACAUGUAUGGUGCUCAAAGUUAGUUAUGCAACAACAAAAGAUUUAUAUAAUAACAAUCAUACAAGUAGUGAAGAAGAAAAUAUUAUUAGAGUAUACAAAAAUAGUGCUCCUAAUGAAUAUAAUGAUAUUCAUAAAAAGCAUGAUAGUUUAGUAGUAUAUAACAAUAAAGAACAUAUAGGAGAUUUAAAAAAUUGUUCAUUUAAUAUUGAUAAAACAUAUGAUAUAAAAAAUAAUAGUGAUAAUACGUAUUUGGUUCAUAAUGUUGAUGCUGAUUCGGGAGAGGAAGUAAAACGAACAAUGCAUAAAAAUAGUUCACCAAAUAUAAAUAAUGCGAAAAAUAUGGAUACAGUUAAUUUAUUUAGUACUGAUAAUAUUGUUCAAACAUAUCAAGAAAUAAACGACAAUGGUAUUGCUUGUCGGCAUGAGACUGUUGACAAUAGUAAAAUUGGUGAAUACGCCAAUAAUACCACAUGUAUAAACACAACUGAUAAUUAUAAUAACAUAAGUAGUGAUCAUAAUAAUAUAAGUAGUGAUCAUUAUGGUACUAAUAAUUUUAUUACAAAUAAUACUAUUAACAAUAAUUCUAUUGUAAGUUUUGAAAGAGUUGAGCUUAAUGAACAAGAAAAUAACAUAGUUAAAUCUCCUGCAGAAAUUGCUAAUACAAUAUUAAAUUCGAAUGAAAAGGAAAAAACGGUUGAUGAGUGUAUACAAAGUUUGAGUAAGUGUGGUAUUAAUAGCAGCAAUGUCAACAGCAGCAAUGUCAACAGCAGCAAUGUCAACAGCAGUAAUGUCAACAGUAAUAAUAUCAACAGUAAUAAUGUCAACAGUAAUAAUAUCAACAGUAAUA